GACAGAGGGUGCAAACGUUGUUCGGAAUUACUGGGCGUAAAGCGUGUGUAGGCGGCUAUGUAAGUCGGAUGUGAAAGCCCUGGGCUCAACCCAGGAAGUGCACUCGAUACUGCGUAGCCAGAGUACCGGAGAGGUUGGUGGAAUUCUCGGUGUAGAGGUGAAAUUCGUAGAUAUCGAGAGGAACACCGGUGGCGAAGGCGGCCAACUGGACGAGUACUGACGCUGAGACACGCAAGCGUGGGGAGCAAACAGG
RNAcentral lists this ribosomal RNA (253 nucleotides) under uncultured bacterium. Its description in RNAcentral is "partial 16S ribosomal RNA". It matches the Rfam family "Bacterial small subunit ribosomal RNA", at positions 524 to 776 of the family's 1533-position model. The record is from RNAcentral.